This 265-nucleotide ribosomal RNA is filed under the name uncultured prokaryote. Its description in RNAcentral is "partial 16S ribosomal RNA". It matches the Rfam family "Bacterial small subunit ribosomal RNA", at positions 524 to 788 of the family's 1533-position model. The record is from RNAcentral.
UACGUAGGGUCCGAGCGUUGUCCGGAAUUACUGGGCGUAAAGAGCUCGUAGGUGGUUUGUCGCGUUGUCCGUGAAAACUCACAGCUUAACUGUGGGCGUGCGGGCGAUACGGGCAGACUAGAGUACUGCAGGGGAGACUGGAAUUCCUGGUGUAGCGGUGGAAUGCGCAGAUAUCAGGAGGAACACCGGUGGCGAAGGCGGCUUGCUGGACAGUAACUGACAUUGAGGCUCGAAAGCGUGGGGAGCAAACAGGAUUAGAUACCCU